UUCUUCGUUUCUUCAUCGCUCUAUUUAUCUCUCCGCUCUCUUUCUCUCUCGCCUACUCUCUCCUUCUCCCUCUCGGUUCUUGGCUGAAAUUCCAGAAAUUAAUUGGAGAAAAUUCGAAUUCAAGAAGGGGUUUGAAGAAGUGAGGUAUAUGAAACAAAUUUGAGGUUGGAAUUGCAAAUCCCCAAUUCAAUUAUCGACAAAAUUAGGGUUGUGUGAACGAGGGGUUAUGACGAUCAAGUCACAUCGUUGGAAAACUUGGGAAGUCGGUGGUGGCCUCCAGCGGUGGUUACAUCAGAUGGUCGCCGGAAUCGGGCGAAGAAGACGACUAGCUGUCCAGAAAUCGAAUUCCAGCCUUUGGCUCUUCAAAGAAUUAAUUGAACGGAGGCCUUAGAGGGUGAAUCUCGACGACCAGGACCCACGGUUAGAAACCUUGAGAAGUCAGCCUUCCAUAGGUGCAGCGUGCAUACAAGGUGUUUGAUAAAAUACUGGAACCAGACUCCAACUUUGGAGUGCAAAAA
RNAcentral lists this long non-coding RNA (518 nucleotides) under Erythranthe guttata (spotted monkey flower). RNAcentral describes it as "long non-coding RNA (EGUT_LNC002999)". Lineage: Eukaryota; Viridiplantae; Streptophyta; Magnoliopsida; Lamiales; Phrymaceae. The record is from RNAcentral.